Molecule: ribosomal RNA, 483 nt
Filed under: uncultured bacterium
Lineage: Bacteria
Description: partial 16S ribosomal RNA
Rfam family: Bacterial small subunit ribosomal RNA
Source: RNAcentral
GAUGAACGCUAGCGGCAGGCCUAAUACAUGCAAGCCGAACGGCAAGUUUGAUAGCAAUAUUGGACCUAGAGUGGCGCAAGGGUGCGUAACACGUAUGCAACCUGCCCGCGACAGGAGGAUAGCUCCCCGAAAGGGGAAUUAACCCUCCAUAACACCAUGAGAAGGCAUCUGAUUAUGGUUAAACCGCAAGGGGUCGCGGAUGGGCAUGCGGUUGAUUAGCUAGUUGGCGGGGUAAAGGCCCACCAAGGCGGUGAUCAAUAGGGGUUCUGAGAGGAAGGUCCCCCACACUGGCACUGGGAUACGGGCCAGACUCCUACGGGAGGCAGCAGUAGGGAAGAGUGGACAAUGGUUGCAAGACUGAUCCAGCCAUGCCGCGUGCAGGAAGAAGGCCUUCUGGGUCGUAAACUGCUUUUUCCUGUGGAUAAAAUACCCGUGCGCGGGGAAUUGAAGGUAACAGGGGAAUAAGCCACGGCUAACUACGUG